Molecule: non-coding RNA, 25 nt
Filed under: Rattus norvegicus (Norway rat)
Lineage: Eukaryota; Metazoa; Chordata; Mammalia; Rodentia; Muridae
Source: RNAcentral
AGCCUGUGAGAUUUUCUUGAGCCAA